CGAAGUUGGUGGCGAAAGCCCAGGCGUUGUUGUUGACGGGGUCGGCGAGGUGGUCGGCGAGGUUCUCGAGGGGGCCCUUGCCGGUGACGAUGGCCUGGACGAAGAAGCCGAACAUGGAGAACAUGGCGAGGCGGCCGUUCUUGAUCUCCUUCACCUUGAGCUCGGCGAAGGCCUCGGGGUCCUCGGCGAGGCCCAGGGGGUCGAAGCUGCCGCCGGGGUAGAGCGGGUCGACUAUCUCGCCGAGCGGGCCGCCGGCGACGCGGUAGCCCUCGACGGCGCCCAUGAGCACCACCUGGCAGGCCCAGAUGGCGAGGAUGCUCUGGGCGUGGACGAGGCUGGGGUUGCCGAGGUAGUCGAGGCCGCCCUCGCUGAAGAUCUGGGAGCCGGCCUUGAACCACACGGCCUCGCCGAACUUGACGCCGUUGCGGGCGAGCAGCUCGGGGAAGACGCAGCCGAGCGCGCCGAGCAUGGCCCAGCGGCAGUGGAUGACCUCCAGCUCACGGUUCUUGGCGAAGGUCUCGGGGUCAGCGGACAGCCCCGCGGUGUCCCAGCCGUAGUCGCCGGGGAACUCGCCGGUGAGGUAGCUCGGGGGGUCGCCGGAGAGCGGGCCGAGGUAGAGCACGCGGUCGGAGCCGUACCACGGGCUGCUGGACGCCGCCACCUUGGGCUUGCCCGCCGUCUUGCGCAUGGUGAUGCGGCCCUCGCCGAAGGGCGCCGCCCUGGAGGCCUUCACCGGGGUGCCGGCCAUCGCCGGGGAGGAGAGCGCCAUGGUCGCCGCGGCCGCCAUCGCUCGCUGCGUGCUAGCUAGCUAGCCUUGCUUCGAGUGAGCUGAGGCUGGCAGUGACAGUAGGAGGCGCUGGUGGUCGUUGGUGGUGAGGAGUGAAGCGGGAGCGCGCCGGGUUUAAAUAGGAGGAGGGAGCGAUCGGGUCCUUAUCCCGGGGAAUCUUAUGCCGAGUCGCCAUUGGCGCGCGGGGCGCGAGGCGGGCGGAUGGGGCGGCUGAGGUGGCCGCGCGGUGGCCACGGGAGCGGCGGAGGUCGGGAUUUUUUGCGGGGUUGUGGUGGAUUUGGCGCGGUGGAGAUGAGCCGCGAGGGCGACGGUGGGUCGCGGCCGCAGCCCACAUGGCCGCGUGUGGGGCGGCUCGCCGAUGUGGCCGCGCGCUGGCCAGGGGAUCUCCUGCUCACCGCGCCGGGCGGAAGGGGACGGAGGGCGAUGAGUUUGGCCGUUGCGCGCGGUGCAUUCUGAGGCGUGCCGCUGGCCGGAGGACCCCGGGAAAGAGAUAUCUGCCGUUGGCAGGUUGUGCCGGCGACCUACGUGGCCGACAUCUACUGGUUUCACGACUUCACGAGGUGCCCAAUCGGAACGGGUUCAGGACUAGCUCGGAACUGCCGUUUUAUUUUUCGAUUUGCACAUGCAUCAUGUAAAGAUCCUCUGCAAUGGUUGAAGUUUAAAAACUUUUAUCUUUAAAACCGUUAAUUCAAUCGAUGAUCUCUUUUCAUCGUUGACUUUGUCACGACAAGAUCUUCGAAACUAGAUCUCAUGUUGACAUGUUUCGACAAACUUUUUUUUUCUUCCAUAAUUGCUACAUUUUUCCACUCACUUGCUAUAUUAUUAACCACUUACUUGCUCAAUAAAAAUAACUUAAUUGCCAUAUUUUUUUAUGUCGUUUCGUGCAAAGAUUAUCGAUGCUUAUAAAUGCAGUCCCCAAAAUGUUUUGAUGUGUUUGUCAUUUUUAUUCUACUAAGUUGUCAUGUGGUCUCAUAAAAGCUUGUAGGUGCUUAUAAAAUCACAGUUUCUACAUAUAUUUUUUGUGCUUGUCAUUUUAAUCCUACCUCGUUAUCAUAUUGUCCCAAACAACUUGUGAGUCAUUGUAAAAAAAAUAGUUGUUACGGUGUUUGCUGUAUUUAUCUUUUGAAUUCUAUGCUCAAUUGUUAUGUUUUGUGGUAAUAAAAGGACAUUUGAUUGUUUUAAAACGUAGUUGUGCUAGUGUUGUGUUGUGUCGGUCAGUUAAAUUCUAUUAAAAUGAUAUGCUUUUAUAUCAUGUAUAAUAAAAUAUGUUACAAGGCUUUUGUACGAAAUAAUAUUAAAAAGUGACAAUCAAGUUAUUUUUUUAGGCAAGUAAGUGGUUACUAAUAUGGCAAGUGGGUCAAAAAAUAUGGCAAGUAUGAACAGAAAAAAAAAGUUGACGAAACAUAUCGAUAUGGGAUCUAGUUUUGAAGAACUCGUCGCGAGAAAGCCAAUGAUGAAAACGGAUCAUCGAUUGAAUUAACGGUUUUGGAGAUAAAACUUUUUGAAUUUCAAACAUAAAAAAGAAUCGCGGGUUGUCCUCCCGCCGCACGGCAAAGCAGCGCUGCGCAUGCUAUCAAUUAGAUUUUUCCUUUAUUUUUUAUUUCUUACCGGCAAAACGAUCCGUAUGUUGAAACGGAAAAAAAAUCAUAAUCUUUAAUGAACAUGAACAUAUUUUCCUGCAUCAUCAAGAUAAAAAAAUAUCACUCUCAUUUUCAUGAAAUCGUGGAUAGUUUUUAAAAAUACAGAACAUAUUAAACUCAUGAACAUAUUUGCAAUCGGGAAUAUGUUUCAAAUUCACAGACGUUUUUACAGAUUUUUGAACAUUUUCAAAGAUCAUGAACAUGUUAUACUAUUUUCACACAUUUUUUAAAAUAUAGGAAAAAUAUUAAACAUUUUUCCUGAAUUGGCGAACAUUUUUCUAGAACCGAAGAUCACUUUUUUGGAAAUUUGUCGGCCAAUUUCUGAAAUUCACCAACAUUUUUUUGAUUUUAAAAUUAUUUUUUGAGUUCCAUGAUCAUUUUUUGAAUCAGCGAACAUUUUAUGAAUCAUAAACUAUUGUGUAAUUCACGAUCAGUUUUUGAAUUUUCUCGAUAUUUUUCAAUUUAAGAACAUUUUUUGAAUUGUAUUUUUUUCAAUUGAUUAUUUUGUUAACAUAUGAACGUUGAUAACAAAUCAUGAUUUUUUUUUGGAUUUUCCGAACCUUUGCUACCAAAAUUAUGAAAUUUUUAUGAAUAGGUGUUAUUUAAAAUUGCAAAUAUAUUUUUUAAUCCACAGACGUUUAGAAUUAUUAAACAUUCUAUUACUAAAAAUGUAUUUAAAAAAUUCGGAAUUUGUUUGAAGUCCUGAAUUAUUUAAACUAGAAAGAACAAAGACGGAAAAGGAAAACAAAAUUUAGAAAAUAGGACACCCAGAUAUGGAUCAGCCCAAACAAGUGCGACGUGUUUUCUUCCAGCACACAGAGCACAGUGUAAGAGGUUCCUACUUGAUGGGCCAGCCCAAACGGGGAUUCCCUUUGUGAAAUGUUUGUUAUCACUUGUGGCAACGCUAGGUAAUAUUUUACAACUUUAAAGGUAAUUUAUGUGAUGCACCUUAAGAAGCACUAAUGCCUUUAUUAAUAUAGGUAUAUAUAUAUGCAACAGACUGUUUACACGUGCAAUCAAGUUUUGCAAGUCUUGGGCCUAUAUAUAUAUAUAUAUAUAUAUAUAGGCCCAAGACUUGCAAAACUUGAUUGCACGUGUAAACAGUCUGUUGCAGUUACUUUGGUUGUAGCCUAGAGAUGUGAAAUGUUAUUUCAACCAACCAGAAGAGAGUGCUUGAUACUUGUGAUCUGCAUUGAGUUUUUUAUAAAGAGGAAUGGAUGAUGCAUCACAGUAUAAAUGGUAAAUUGUAAUGCGUGCUCAAGUUCCGCAACACACCCAAUACAAUGACAAAUUGCAUAGGCGAACUAGUUCGGCGAAGAGAUGUGAUACAAGUGUAGUAUGGAUAGUAUAAAUAUAUUUUUAUAAUCCGAAUAAGUAAAAAGAGCGAGGCAACAAGUAGUAAACAACGAGAAAAACGGUAUAUUAAUGUUGGAAUUAUGCCCUAGAGGCAAUAAUAAAUAUAGUUAUUAUUAUAAUUCCUGUAUCAAGAUAAUAGUUUAUUAUCCAUGCUAUAAUUGUAUUGAAUGAAGACUCAUUUACAUGUGUGGAUACAUAGACAAAACACCGUCCCUAGCAUGCCUCUAGUUGGCUAGCCAGUUGAUCGAUGAUAGUCAGUGUCUUCUGAUUAUGAACAAGGUGUUGUUGCUUGAUAACUGGAUCACGUCAUUGGGAGAAUCACGUGAUGGACUAGACCCAAACUAAUAGACGUAGCAUGUUGAUCGUGUCAUUUUGUUGCUACUGUUUUCUGCGUGUCAAGUAUUCAUUCCUAUGACCGUGAGAUCAUAUAACUCACUGACACCGGAGGAAUGCUUUGUGUGUACCAAACGUCGCAACGUAACUGGGUGACUAUAAAGAUGCUCUACAGGUANNNNNNNNNNNNNNNNNNNNNNNNNNNNNNNNNNNNNNNNNNNNNNNNNNNNNNNNNNNNNNNNNNNNNNNNNNNNNNNNNNNNNNNNNNNNNNNNNNNNUCCUCGCCUCUAGCUCGCGCACCCCUCGCCGGAGUCGGCACCAGAGAGCUUCACCCAGGAGCUCCUCCAUCGCCCCCCCCUGCACGCUUUCCCCCUGCCGAGCCCACCUCACCCCGCCACCACCUCCCCACCACUCGGCCCCCUCCUCCACCACCCCUCCACCCCGCUGCUGCUCCUCCCCAUCACCACUACCAGGCAGCCAGGAGCUUCCCCGUCGGCUCCCCCACAUGCAGGCUCCCUCCUCCCCCUUCGGCCCUCCCCCCAGGAGUCUCCACCGGCCCCUUCCCCACCCCUCGCCGGCCCCUACCCCACCCCACCGGAGCUCACCCCGUGCACCCCCUUCCCACCUCGGCCACAAUAGCCAGCCACGGGAGCAGCUCCAGCCACGGUAAGGCUCCACUCCCCCUCCUGUUUCUUUUUUGUUUUUAUGUAGUAGCCCUUAGAUCCAUAAUCUACGGUGUAGAUUAGGAAGUACUUACCCCUUCGGUUUUCUAAAAAGAACCGGUCCAUCAGUUAAGUGAACCGAAGCAUUUUCUUAUUUAGCGGCCAUCCGCUGUUUAGUCUAUGCAGCAAACACCCCUUAGCCAAUCAGGGACUGCCACGUAGUUAGUUAGCUUUUAUUCUGUUUUUUUUUCAGAUUUAGUUCAAAAACAGAAAGUUCCAAUCUUGUUUAGCCCAUAACUUUUGAUCCCGAAGUCCAAUGAUAGUGAUUCUUUUUCCAGUAGCUCACAAAGUUCCUGUAGUUUCUAAAAACAUAUAAUUUGUAUAUGUUUGAAAUUUUCGAAUAUAAGUUAGAUCAGAUUUAGUUUAAACAUUGUUUUGCCUAUUCCAGGAGUUUAAAAAUAUCUUUUAAUCUGAUUCCUUUUGGUACUGAUCACUAGUGAUCCUAUUUAUAAGUGGUAAAAAUUUCCAAUUUGUUUGAGUAUAUUAGCUCACUGUUUCUUGUGAAACAAUUUCUGUUUCAUCUCUUUUAGGAUUUCGGCUAAUUCCUUUUCUACUUUUGUUUUAAAAUAUUUUCUUUAUUAUUUCAGAAACAUUAUUGUUUUGUUUAUGUUAGUUAACAGUAGUUUUGGAACAAGUUUUUAUUUUAUUUUUAUUUGUUUUCAUGAAAUCAAUUCUAGUUCCUUAUUAACUUGCAAUUGGUUUCCGCACUGUUUCAAAUCCCGUUUGGGAAUACUUUCAAAAAGUUUUGUGAAAAAUACUUUAUUUUAUCUUAGUUAAACUUAUAUCUUAGUUCCUUGUUAUUAUUUUCUGUUAGACAAAAACUAGUUAGUGUUUGAUGUAGAAGAAGACUCCUAGUUUAGUAAAGUUUCUUUCGGAUUCUUAUUCGCUCUCUCUUUUGUUUUGAUUGCUAGAAUGAUUGCUAGUAUGAGUGCUUAUGUGAAUGAUAUGUUUGUUAUAUAGAUUCCCUCGGAGAGUGACGAGUAGUCUAUCAAGUUAUUUUCUCGAGAAAUUCUUCUUCGUCAACAUCACCAGGCAAGUCACUUUGAUCAUACUAUCACCUAUGUUUUAUGCAUCGUAGUUCUACCAUCCUAUGCCCAAAUUGCAUGCUGCUUAAGUACUUGGAAAUUUUAGUAUAGGUUGUAGUAUCAUGUGGUAGGCACCCAACAACCCCGAUACUUGGCCCCGGGACGACAAAUUUCAUAUUGCUAUGCUUGAGGAGACGGGAUUUCGGUUGAGUGCAUAACACAAGUGAUGCGAGGUUGAUUAAAUAAUCAAGACCGGUUAAGACAAGAUUUUCAAGAUCUUGGACACAAUGCAACUCUGGGUGAAGGACGGUUGAUCGGCUCCCUGGAGAACCCAGUGGAUGACCCGGGAUGCUGGAGAGGCCAUGACAUCCUGCGGAAAGCUUCACCCAGGCUCAAAGAGACGGACGGAUAUUUUCAAGACCCAAGGCUUACCUGCACAGCCACAAGUCAUUAUGGGCUCUGGCUUGGUUGGACAACGCGGCGACUCUGGACAGGCGGUGCUAGCAGAUGUAGAAGAAUGGUAUGAAUGGAUGGGCACCGACAGGGAUUCAGAGGGACCCGUUGAAAGACCAUGUUUUGAUCAUCCGGUCUUCAAACACCCUGAAGUGYGAGGACAUACACGGAGGCGAUCAAAUCUUGUGGGGAACGUGUGCAAAACUCUACAGAGUACUCAAACCUAAUCGAUUAGCCGUGUCCACGGUCAUGGACAACUUGAGCCAAAGGAACUGAAGUUAUCUGGAUUUCUCAACACCAUUAUAUAUAUUUGAUGAGGGUAAUUAUUGACAACUCGGGUACGAGAACUGGUUGGCGGAACCAUCUCGUUAACAACCAACCUUGUAGUAAUAUUUUUCUUUUAGCCCUCUUGAUGUUGGAGAAAACUUGCUUUUCGCUAAAAAACUUAUAGCCCCAGCUGCCAUAAAUGCAUAUAGUAUAGAUGAUUACUUUUCACCCCUCUCUUAUGKGACUUGCCAGCAUAUUCAAUAUGCUGACCUACACGGCURCAACAUCUUAUGUUGCAGAUAUUUUUCUUCGAUGAGUAAGAGUACGAUUCAGGGUUACGGUCAACCCUCAACUUGCCGUUGGUGUUUAUUGGGACUCCACUCCCUUGACUGCUUCCGCUGAGAUAUUUAAGGUAUACAUCAGUUUUACGCUAUUUACAUGUGAUUGCACUUUGAUAUAUACAUUGAUGUACUCUGUGUGCCAGCAUACUGAUCCACGGAUGGCACAGAAACACAGAGGCUUGACUCGUCUUGAGUCGGGUCGCUACUGAAAUGGUAUCAGAGCACAUAUUGACUGUAGGACGUGACCCUAGAAACUAGAAAUUUCUUAGGAAAGGAUCUCUCAAAAAUUUUAUUUUCAACAACACCUUUUACUUCUCAUCUCUUCUGAUUUCAUCGAAUGUUCCCUCUCACCUCAAAUAGUUAGACAAUACCCUUACCCCUUUGACCUCAUGAAUAAUCAACGGAGUUCUACUUCAAAUUAAAGAGGAUUUCCUCAUGCAAUUGAAGCUACACCAAUUGAAGACUCUCAAGACCCGAAGAACUUGAAGACCCCGAAACGUUCGAAUAUUUAUAUGACCAUUAGAAGUCCAAACCCCUGUUAUAUACCCACGUUAGAUACGAUGAUUUGUGAGCCGUCAUUGGUGUGUGUUUUUCGAUAGCCACAAAUAAAACCCAUUCUCAAAAAUAUUGUUUGUAUUGUGUGUAUCUCCCUCCCUCUCUUACCCGUCUCAUCCCCAAAACCUCAACCCUACCAGAUGGAGUAUGAAGCUGGACUUGUAGUCUCUGGACCAAUGACCCAGCUAGAGGCUGAAAUAUGGACUCAGAACAUGGAGAACCACUUCGGGAGCAACUUGAUCUCAAGGAAGUAUGAAGUGGAACACGCUCUCUAGUACUUUACCCAAAGUGCUGCAAUCUGGUGGAAAAUGCACCAUGCCAUACAAGGAUUUAGUGGAGCAGAAACCUGGGACGAAUUCAAGAACACCCUGUUAAGAUCCCGUCUCAUUCGGAAGUGCUAUGAUAAUCCGAAGGAGAAGACUUGUGCAUGCAAGAUCUAUGGAGAAAUAGGACACACCCAGGAAGAACACAAGGAUCGAUGCACUCAUUGUGAAGAAAAUCACCCAGCUGAGGAGUGCCCAAGUAGUCAGGUGACUUGUUUCCUUUGUGAAGGAACCACCCACUACCCAGCUCAGUGUCACAUUUACCCCAAGGUGCAACAGGUUGUCAAGCAGCAGAAAGAUGCAGUGAAGGAACCCCUCAAGAAGAAGAUUCUAGAAGAACCGAUGAUGAACGAAAAUAUUGAAGACCCUGAUGGACAAGGUCUGACCAGAUUUUUCUCCAAUGCAUGUUACUCAUGUGGAGAAGAAGGACAUUAUUCACAGGAUUGCACGAAGGAAAGCCAAGAGUAGCUGGGAAACUUCCCGACGGAAGAAGUGGAGUUUGAUCCACUUGAAAUAGAAGAACUGGCCAAAAUAAAGGAGUCCAGAAAGAAGAAAAAGUACCCUCGGAAGAACCAAAUCUCUGCAGACAUAGACCUGAGUCAUGUCAGAUGUUACAAGUGUAUGAAAUUUGGCCACCACAAAUACAUGUGCUCAGGAAGGAAGCCGGAAAUCCAAGGAGCAAAAGAAAAAGCUAAGAGGCCUCGAGACUUGUCAGAACUCAUUUGCUUUCGUUGCAAGGAAGCAGGACAUUUUGCUAGCGAUUGUCCACAAAGGAAGAAAGCUAAGAAGGAGUAGUUAAGUUUUGACCGCGGCACUUAGUGUAAUAUGAAUAACUCUUGUUUUUCAUGAGAUCAUGGAGUGAAAUUUUGUAAAGAAGUCCCUGAGAUUGUAAUAACAUCAUGAAUAAAUGGAAUUUAUUGUCUCAUGAUUGCCUAUGUUGAAACUGUAUGCGUUGUUUCUCUGCGAACAAAGAUCUCUGAACAUUUAUGAGGAUAUGAGAAAAUAUGGUCUAUGCAUGCAUGAGUAUUAUUCAUUUUAAGUGUGGUAGUAAUCGGUAAACCCACAGGAUCCACUGAGUAGGAAUGUACCAUGAUUACCAAGGAGACACAUACAUUCCUCUGAGUACCUAUUUACUGACACCUACAGAUGACACCUCUCUACGAGUCAUUCCUCAAGGGCCCAGAAACGAUCAUGACCCUGACCAGUGACCAUGAUUACCCGAAAAUCCUGAAGGACAUGAUGAAGCACAUUCACCUUGAAGGAGAUGCAGUCUACAAAGGCUACCCAUUUAUGGAAAAUUGAGUGGAACUUUGGUACGUGGAAGUACACCUCCACCAUGUGAAAGGAGUUUGUCCAAAGACUAUGGGGAAAUACUUUUUCAUUUCACGUGUACCGCGAGCAACCUUCUUUGAUGCUGUUCGUGAAGCUGCCAUGGAAGCCAUACGUCAGAUUGGAGAAAUACUUGAAGCAAGACUCCGUCAUACCCAGGAAUACCUGAGUGAGGUACGUGCGUAGAUGAUGGAGAUGAAGCUCAUGACCACCAUGAUGAAGCGAAAGAUGGAUGAUUUCAAGGAGUACCUCGGAAAGUUCGAGUGGAAGUACCUCCAAGAGAGACAGAUGAAUAAAGUUGGCAGAAAUGCUUGACCAUACCGAACAAUGUGGAUGGCAGCAUUUGUAAUAAAUUACUUUUGAGUUAGAAUUUUGAAGAAAGCAAGGAUGUAAUAAAGGAUAGAUUAUGUAAUGAAUAUGAUUUAUGGAAGAAGCUAUGAUGGAUCAGCAAACGUUUUCUUAGGAGCAUACGAAAGCCAGAGAGUUGUGGAGAUACGAUAGAUGUUUCGUUCAGCUUGCAGAACCAAUGGUUUAUCCGAACUUCGUUCGUGGACAAGAGAAACUCUGCAACGCUUGUGAGGAUGCCCAAGUGUUAGAAUGCGAGAUUCGCUAAACCUUAUACAGAGAAAUGAUUUGGGUGCGGAAUGGAUCGAUCACCAUGACGACUUACUCUUAUCAUUUAUCUUGCUAUUCAGAAUGGUAAAUCUGAGAGACUUACCCAUAUAGAGAGAUGACGUUCUUUGAAGCUUUUGUUUAAGACUUAGAGUGGUAUAAGAAAAGCCCAUGCACAUGGCACUUGUUGACACGCGUAGGAAAUUUUACGAUGAGAAUGAAACCAAGACCCCACUCUCUGCAAGAUAACCACAAAUGGUAUACCACCAUGAGAACCAUCGAUAUGUUAUUUAGAAUUGACCGCGAGACUGUCAGUUAAGAAGACCCAGUAAAGGAAGAAGCUUAUAUCAACGGAAGAACUCUCGAUUUUGAUGGAAAACGUUAUGAAUGUAACGAAAGAGCUUCACCAGAGGAGUUAGUAUGAAGACUGUGAGGAGUCAGAUGCCAAAACCCCACCGGAUUGUCAAAAAUCUUAUGGGACAAGUAAUCUUCAUUUUAAGUGUAGUAGCAUCCCACUUUGCUGGAAGUUGGAUUUGUUAGAAGACCCCCAAACCCUAACGUUUCUUUCUAGCCUCUUCGAAUCUCGAGGACGAGAUUCAUUUUAAGUGUGGUAGGUUUGUAACAUCCCAAAUUUUGGAAUGUUAAAAUAAUUAUUAGAUUGUUUGUUUGUUUGCUUGAGUGAUUGAAACUUGUGUGAAAUUUGAAACUUUUCAAAAACUUUUGAAUGAUAGGGAAUAAAAUGACUUUCCCCAUCUCUGAUGAAUUCAAAUUCAAUCUUUUAAAAGAAAAGAGAGAAGAUGACAUGACUUCUUCAACUAUAAAGAAUUUGAACGGAGUUUGCAUUUGAAUCCUUUCAAAUUAUUUGCCCUUGCUUCUAUAUUUUUCUUCCCCGAGAAAAUGCCCCGACAAAAUUCUUGCACGCAUGAAAGAGCGGAGGAAAAUGACCCUCCAAAAACCAGGGCCAUUGAUUGAAAUAUUUUGAGCCAAGAAAAAACCAAAAUUUAAUUUGAGAAAAUAAUUGCAAAAAUAAAUAAUGCUUUUAGGGAUUUUUUGGAAAAACAUUUUUUUAAGUUUUCAUUUUGGCCGUUGAAAAAUGCCCAUCAUUUAGAUUUUAUUUUUCUGAUAAUUUUAGUAUAUAGAAACCUUAUAUUCCGAAUUGAUUUGAUUUGCCUUUUAUCGUUUUAGUUUCCUAGUUUUGAAAAAGGAAAGAAAUCGUGUUUAAAUGGAAAUAAACGGUCGCCCAUUAAAACCUUUCCAAAAACUGGCCCAACAGGAUCUUCUUCUUCCUCUAUCUCCUUCCUCACGUGCAUAGGACCUUCCUUAGCCAUGGACAGAGAAAUCCUCACUUCCGGAAUUCGCGAAGUUCUUUCCCUCCUAGCCUCUCCCGUCGCCCCUAUAAGAAGGCCCCGGUCCUCCUCGUUCCAUUCCCGUUGGAAUCGCCGCCUCUCCCCACCUCCUCCCCCCCCCCUGUGGACCUCGGCGGAGUCGGCCACAGGAACUCGCCGGCGACCUUCCCCAUCGCCCCUGCACCCCCUCCCCACCCCACCGACUUUCCCCAUCGCCCCUGCACCUCCUCCACCACCCCACCCCGUCGCCCCCCUGCAUCCCUCCCCAUCCCCACCGAGCUCCCUGCCAGGAGUUCCCCGCCAAGACGCUAGGAGCACCGGAGCAGCCCCUGACGCCCCUCGCCCCUGCUCGACCAGGAGCUCCCAGGAGCCUCGCUGCCACUCCCUACGUCGCCCGCACCCCCCGCCGGCGACCCCACCCCGCCGGAGUUGCCCCCCCCCUCGCUGGAGUGCCUCCUCCUCGCCACUGCUUCUCUGGAGCACGAGGUAACUACCUCUCCUUUACYUUUUUUCUUUUUCUUUUUUUUCKUUUUAMUUAUACCAUUAGAUCUAGAAUCAACGCGGCAGAUUAGAAGCCCAGAUACCCUUUCGGUUUAGUUAAGAAAACCACUCAGAUUUCUAUUACAUUACUUUAGCCAAAGAGGUUUUAUUAGAUUUCGGCCGUCUGCUUAUAUGUCUCGCAGCAAACACCCCCUUAGCCAAUCAGAGAGCACCACGUGGACCCCCUGUUCACUAGUUGGAUUUUUUCUAUUUUCAGUUUAAUUCAAAAACAGAGGCAGAUUCAAUUUUCUUUUGAUCAUAACUUUUGAUCCACAACUCCAAUGGAGCUGAUUAUUUUUCCAGUAGAUCACAAUUUAUCUGUAGUUUUUAAAAACAUAUAAUUUGUCUAUGUUUGAAAUUUUCAAAUUUGAAUUAGAUCAGAUUUAGUUUAAACCUUGUUUUGCUUAUUCCAGGAGUUUAAAAAUAGCUUUUAAUUUGAUUCCUCUUGCUACUGAGCACUAGUGAUCUUAUUUAUCAGUGGUAAAAAUUUCAGAUUUAUUUGAGUAUUUUAGCUCAUUGUUUCUUGUGAAACAAUUUCUGUUUCACCUCUUUUAGGAUUAUGGUUAUUUCUUUUUUGUAAAUUGUUUUUAAAUUAUUUUCUUUCAUAUUUCAGAAACAUUAUUGUUUUGUUUAUGUUAGUUCACAGUUGUUUUUCAACAAGUUUUGAUUUUAAUUUAUUUGUUAUCAUGAAAUCAAUUCUAGUUCCUUAGUAACUUGCAAUUGGUUUCUCCACUGUUUCAAAUCCCGUUUGGAAAUACUUUCAAAUUGUUUUGUGAAAAAUACUUUAUUUUAUCUUAGUUAAAUUUAUAUCUUAGUUCCCUGUUAUUAUUUUCCGUUGAACAAAAACAAUUUAGUGUUUGAUGUAGUAGAAGACUCGCUAGUCUUAUUUGAAGUUUCCUUCGGAUUCCUAUUCGCUCUCUCUUUUGUUUUGAUUGCUAGAAUGAUUUCUAGUACGAGUGCUUAUGUGAAUGAUAUGUUUGUUAUAUAGAUUUCAUCAGAGAGUGACGAGUAGUCUAUCAAGUUAUUUCUCGAGAAAUUCUUCUUCGUCAACAUCACCACGCAAGUCACUUUGAUCGUACUAUCAACUAUGUUUUAUGCAUCAUAGUUCUACCAUCCUAUGCCCAAAUUGCAUGCUGCUUAGGUACUUUGAAAUUUUAGUAUAGGUUGUAGUAUCAUGUGGUAGGCACCCAACAACCCCGAUACUUGGCCCCGGGACGAGAAAUUUCAUAUUGCUAUGCUUGGGCAGACGGGAUUUCGGUUGAGUGCAUAACACGAGUGAUGCGAGGUUGAUUAAAUAAUCAAGACCGGUUAAGACAAGAUUUUCAAGACCUUGGACACAAUGCAACUCUGGGUGAAGGACAGUUGAUCCGCUCCCUGGAGAACCCAGUGGAUGACCCGGGAUGCUGGAGAGGCCAUGACAUCCUACAGAAAGCUUCACCCGGGCUCAAAGAGACGGAUGGGUAUUUUCAAGACUCAAGGCUUACCUGCACAGCCACAAGUCAUUAUGGGCUCUAGCUUGGUUGGACAACGCGGCGACUUUGGACAGACGGUGCUAGCAGAUGUAGAAGAAUGGUAGGAAUGGAUGGGCAUCGACAGGGAUACAGAGGGACCCGUUGAAAGACCAUGUUUUGAUCAUCCGGUCUUCAAACACCCUGAAGUGCGAGGACAUACACGGAGGCGAUCAAAUCUUGUGGGGAACGUGUGCAAAACUCUACAGAGUACUCAAACCUAAUCGAUUAGCCGUGUCCACGGUCAUGGACAACUUGAGCCAAAGGAACUGAAGUUAUCUGGAUUUCUCAACACCAUUAUAUAUAUUUGAUGAGGGUAAUUAUUGACAACUCGGGUACGAGAACUGGUUGGCGGAACCAUCUUGUUAACAACCAAGAAUGUAGUAACAUUUUGCUUUUAGCCCACUCUUGUUGUAGGAGAAAAACUUGCUUUUCGCUAAAAACUUAUAGCCCCACCUGCCAUAUAUGCAUAUAGUAUAGAUGAUUACUUUUCACCCCUCUCUUAUGUGACUUGCCGGCAUAUUCAAUAUGCUGACCUACACGGCUGCAACGUCUUAUGUUGCAGAUAUUUUUCUUCGACGAGUAAGAGUACGAUUCAGGGUUACGGUCUACACUCAACUUGCCGUUGGUGUUUAUUGGGACUCCACUCCCUUGACCGCUUCCGCUGGGAUGUUUAAGGUAUAUAUCAUUUUUACGCUAUUGUACAUGUGAUUGCACUUUGAUAUAUACAUUGAUGUACUGUGUGUGCCAGCAUACUGAUCCAGGGAUGGCACAGAAACACAGAGGCUUGACUCGUCUUGAGUCGGGUCCCUACAUCACCUUAGCUGUGCCAAGGGAACGAAAUCUGGUUGAUCGAGCGAGAGACAUUUAGCACUCCGCUUCUACUGUUCUCCUUGAUGUACUAGCACAAACCAAUUAUAGAUCAGGCUUGAUAUCUAGCACAUCAAGUAUAGGUCGGAAUUCGGGGCAUCAAAGGGAGUCCAUGAGGAAUAACUUCCAAAAUAAGUCAUACAAACCCUCACAGGGAGAUGGCUAAGAUUGUUGAUAGAAAAUAUAAUAUCAAAUCUUCCGCCUAGGUGUGUUAGCCACAACAUCACUUUACCGAGUUACAUAGAGACCAAUAUUAUAAUUCUUGGGGAAAGUUCCAACCAUUUUAACUGCCUGAGAUUCAGCUCCGGUUGGUGACACGAUGCUUCAGACUCAGCAUGUGUGAAAAGAAAGUUUGCAACACAAAUCGAUGGUAUAACGUUGCAAGAUUCUCAGGAAAUGAACUACGAAAGCCAACUCCAAAACAUGAGCUGGGUUGCAAGACACAUGUGAACACACUGCCCAAGACAAUGAUGACCACAUGAAAAGUCUUACAACAAAACACUACCGAGUUCUGGAUGGGGACCAUUAUUGCGGAUAACGAAACCAUGUGCAAGUCCGUUUGGUACCUUCAGGAAUGGCACUUAACUUCUUUUCCUUGAACAAAUCAAUCAGUGGCUUGGUGUGCUAGGAGAUACAUAUGGAGUGAUGAUGAUCAGUCUAUCAAACCAUAGAAUACUUCGCACAUGCAUGAUUGACUUGGGAUGAUUCCCAAGAAACAAAUUAACUUUUCUCGAAUUCACGGCAGCAACUUGCAUCAGAUGCACAUGAAUUAUGGGAAGUCACUUCUUACACCUAACAUAUACCUCGUGCUCGAGACACGAAGAUAAUGUCUACAAAGUUUCCAGGACUAGUUAAUGUCCAACAUAGAUCAUGGAACAAAUGAGAAUGUUGCCCAUGGGCUCAACAACAAUUCAUCAAGAUACCCAUAUAAAUGGAUUUCCACAACUAUGUGAGCAAGAUAAUAGCAUUGGUGAGAUCAAAGAAUACAAUAGUGUAGGCUCAAGGAAAACCCUGAGUACGAGUACGAAAAUCUUUGGUUCUGAGUUUGAUUUGACAAUAGCCCAUACUCAAAUCAAGGUUGGACAAGAUAAUAUAUGCAACAAUUGAUCACACGGAUCCACCGAUGACAAUAUAAUCUUUCUUCAAGAGUCUCACAACAGGAAAGAUAUCCCUUUAAAAUGAACUAAGUUUAGGCGAAGCUUUUAUCUUCCAACUCUCCAAGUUGUUGUUUAGCUUAACCAACUAGAUCGGGGUAUCCAACACGGAUUCUUGGAGAAAAUGGCUUAUAGAGAAACCAACUUGAUCACGAGCUCUUAUCAUAACACUCAGGAAACAACCUGGAAAUACUUCCGAGAAGAUAUUCGGAAAAUCACGAACCACCGAUAUAUUAUUAAGCUCGGGAAACAAUCUCGCUUUUCAAGGCAAGAUGAUGUGAUCAAUAGAGCAAGGGAUUGACACAAUCCGAUCCCAUCGAUUGAAAAGUGCACCAUGAAAUAUGGACUAGGUAGCACGGUCAAUCUUAGAAUGACGAUUCAAUCAUCAUCACCAUAAGAGUGAAUUUAUUAUCCAUUAGCUACCAAGCAAUAACGUUGCUAGGAGUAUUGAUUUCACACAUCAUGGUUCACUUGUCGAUAUUACAGUUACAACCAACACGGAAACCGAGGGAUGAAUAAUAAUAGCGAGAAGUAUCACUACAUGAAGAGCUCAUAAGAGAUGGUGCAAUUCGCACGACAUUCUUGACAAGAAGAGGGUAAUACUCCAAGAUAGGACAGAACAAAAGCUGGUUAGCAUUUCGAUCUGUGGAAUACAACUACUCUGACCCAAUCCAAGAAAUGGAUGAGGUACUGGAGUUUACUUCUCCCAGUCAUUCGAGAAUAGAACAACUUGACAAACCACGAAAUAGAAGACAUCGUUGACACGAAUGUACAACUACUUUUGACUAACCUCUCAAUGAUGAAGGUCAAAAUACAACUAGAUAGGGCCACCUCAAGAGCACAUGGUUUCUUGAGUUGUGGAUGCAUGGAUUAGCAUGUCGAACGGGUUCAACAUAAUUCUUCCAGAUAACCCAUGCAGAAGGGCGGAGUAGGAAGAAUCACAAUAUGGAGUAGAGAACUCAUCACGAGCACUCUUGUUAUGAUCUUUAGUUCACGGAGAACUUUUGCCAAAGAUGAUUCAUGGUGUUGGAAAAAUGAUAUACCAUGAACCUUGGGAGCUACAACAGGGUUACUAAUCAUUCUAAAGGAACUAGCAACACUAUCAACAGAGAUGAGCAGAAUGAUCCUUGGAUUCGAUGACCCAGAAAUAGAAUACCUAAAAACGAAAUAACAUCACGAGAUGUUUUUGAAAAUGAUGGCCAGAACUAUCACACUGGAAGACAUAGCACCCAUCUAGACUAUUGGGUAGUUUUCGGAGUAACAUGGUUUCCUAAUACUUCAAAAAAAACAUCGAGGUAAUGGAGUACCUCAACACAGUGAUUAGUGUGCUUUGUCUGGCCAAAAGACAUUAGAAAUAAGAGGAAGGAAGUUGCAAUUGCAACAGAUUAUUUAGAAACUUUGGAAAAGUCGGACAACAUAACGGCUGUGCGGGCAUGAAAUAUGAGGCACCCUGCAAGAAAACGAACAACAUAACAAUUGAAUUCUUAUGGAGACACUGAUCCAGGAAGAAAACAACUUUUCUAUAAGUCUCCAACAUAGUAACUCGUCAUCCUAAUGAAUACAUGAGAAAUCCUAACUAUUAAACCCCGUAGAAUAAAGAAGAGGAUGACUCAGAAUAAGAAUGACACAAGGAAAGGAGUAAAAGAGCCUUACGUUACCUUCCACAAACAAUUACCUUAUAUAACUAAAGAGUUGCUAGACUCAACAUCGACCAGUUUGGCUUGCUUAUCCUACAUGCAGUCAAUCUCUGAUACCAAAGUUGUCGGGAGCCCGAUCCUGAGUCAUAAGAACCCAACCUGUAACACAUCACAUCACUUUGCGGCCUCACGCACGGCAAACUCCACGGCUGCCACCUUACCUUGGCCCGGACCGUUUACAUCUUUUGGCUCACGUAUAUGAAUAUGUUGCUAGCGUUCAAACGACAAAGAACCUAGGUCGACAUGACUAGUUAUAAACCCAAGCGGUACAUCUGUACAGGGACAGACAUACAUAACCCAGCAAAGCAGGUGUCGAUCAACAACGUGUGUAGACGAGUCGUAGCAAGCUACAAGGACUCCAUUACACCGCGUGACAUUUCCCCGAGGGGACAGACACAACAGCAAAGAAGGAUACACGCCGGUCAAUCAAUGUGUCUAGAGCAGUAGAAAGCUACCAAGGCUCGAUAGAAGCACAAAGAGGCAUUUCCCUGUAAAGAGUACUACUAAAGGCACACAACUAGGUGUCGAAUCCCACACAUAUAAUGCAUUUCAUAACAUACACACAAUAUGCACGAUAUGUGUAGAUGCAACAUGGCAUCACAACAUAACUCUACGACUCAAGCUUUUAUUAAGGACUCAUAAGAAUCAACAUAGUGUGUUAUUACAAAAAGGGGUCCCGUAACCCGACACUCAAGUCAUACAAACAACAAGCAGAAGCAAAACAUGUCUGGGUACAGACAUCUACUAAAAAUUGUUGGAAGAGCCUGAAAAGCUACUACGACCCUACCAAAGGAGCCAGACCUUUGUCUGGGAUUCCCAAGCUAUUCCGGUCAACGUCGAACACAUCGCUUAGAACCUUAUAAUGAGUCUAAAACUUCUCUGCAAAAACAUAAAUAAAGCAACAGUGAGUACAAAGGUAAUCAGCAAGACUUACAUCAGAACUAUCUACAUAUGCAUCAUGUUUCAAUGGAAGGAUUGUGUGGUUUGAUUUCAGCAAGCCAGCUUUGACCCUUGGCUAGCCUGUACUACGACUAAAAGUUCUUUUUUUGAGGUGGGAUAGCGCACACGAGUCCACAUAUUCAUCAAUCAAAACACCACUAUGGAUUCACUCUCGUCUCCCUACGAUAAAGCCUUCCAUAGCACUCACACUUAUCUUGCAUGUUUUAGAGUAUCCAUUUAAAUUGUCUAUGUACCACGUAAUGCUUCCAAGUAGUCCAUAUCCGAGGACGUGGCUAUUCGAACAGAUUAAAUCACCCUACAUGGGUAUACUUCUUCACGCACGUUCCGACCACUUAUCACCAUGUGCAAGUCAUGCAUCUCGGCAACCUUCAAGCGGAAGCACUGGCGUGGGUGUCGGCCAUGACCGUUAACCACACAAGACCCUAGUCAAGGUUUAUCGCCUAUUUGUGACUGAACCCGCAAGGAAGUCCGGCCGAGGUUUCCUCUACGGCCCCAAACGAUGUGCGCAGUGUUCCCAAGCCCACCAUCCGGGUGCCACUUGAUACACCGUGCCACUUUGUAUCUACCGUAGAGAAGCCCACCCCGUCGGGCCGAGCUAAACACGGCCGCCAACACUUUUCCUACAAACAGCAGAAACUAGUUGCAACUCCUGGACAGAGAUCUAGGCGAUUAAUAACCCAAGAGGGUCAAUUAAGUAUCCCAAUUUGUGGUAGUAUCUUGUCUUGGAUAACAUACACAUAACUCAGUUCUUAAGGACGGUCCCAAUGAGACAACCCACCAUGUACUCCUAUAUGGCCUCUCAUCGCUACCUUUACCAAAUCGGAUUCACACUUUUACUCUCCCACUAUAGGACAUGAACACAACCAUUCUGAUUCAUCAUCCAGAUAGGUCAGACCCGACACGACUCUAAGCAUAGCAGGCAUUGUAAACAAGCAUGGAUGAGUAAGCACAACAAGACUCAAGCAGUUGCUACUCAUGUUAAGUGGUUUCAACUAUUUACUGUGACAAAAUCAGGUCAUGCAGAGGAAUGGGUUCAACUACCGAUAACAUGUACAAUUGAAUCGUGUUUGUCCUAAUGCAGUAAAAGAGAGAAGGAGCGAGAGAGAGGGUUUAUAUCAAUAUGCUCAAGGGGGUUUGCUUGCCUGACAUGUGUGAAGAUAGCAAUGAGUCUUCAUCAAUGUCAACGAUCACAUCGUCGGAAACAUCGUCUACUGAGAGGGAACAACACCGGCAAACAAGAAAGAACAACAAUUACUUCACGGAAAUGCAACACUAUGAUGCAUGCUCAAGACAUGAAAUUAAAGGUGGCAGGGCUAAUCUAUCAUUUCUUAAGUUGAAGUUGGAUUUGAAUUUGAAUUCAAAUAUCACUUCAAGCAAGGAAUUUUCCGGAUACCCUUUUAAUUGAUUUGACCUGAUGCUCAGGUACAACUUGUUUUUUUAACAUGCAUGAAGAUGGUAUUUUGAGGUAUUGAUUUUCCUUGAUCAAUGUUUGGUCAUAUCAAUUGAAGUGGAAUUCAAAUAGGUAUCAAAUUCCAACUCCAAACUAAUUAUUAAAUUUAUCCUAUUCACCAUUUGGCCUAUUUGGUGAUUUUAACUUUUUCGAACAUGCAUGAAAAUACCAUAAUCAGAUUCUUUGGUUUUUUCUGAUCAUUUUUCAUAGAUAAAUUAUUUUCAUUGGACUUACAAAUUAUUUUCUAUGAUUUUUAGAAGUUUUAGGCAUUUUCUGGAAUUAUUUUAUAAUAGAAAAUCAAUUACUGCGUCAGCACUGCGUCAGCACUGCGUCCGCAUUGCGUCAGCAGUCAACUGUCCUGGGUCAGGUCAAACCUAACAUGUGGGGUCCACACAUGAGUGACACAGUUAAAUUAAGAGAGUUAGGUUAAUCUUAAUUCUUAUUUUAGAGCUAUAGGGCCCACUGUCAGUGAGUCAUUGUUUAACUAAAUAGUUAUUAGGCGCUAAUUAAACACCUGACCGGCUGGGCCCACAUGGGAGUGGCUCAGGCCGAUGAGGUCGACGCCGGCGACCAACAGAGUGACGGGGGCUCACCGGAAUUCCUCGAUCUCGUGCUAUAGGCUUCGGAUUUGCACGCGGUUGAGUUCUACGGAUAGCUGAUGAAGCGCAACAUCCAUUCCAACCCAGCCAGGAGGUGGCUGGAAUGAGGCCGGCGACGACCUCGGGCGGUGGCUGGAGUCGGCCAUGGUAGGGCUAGUGCUAGAGGGCAGGAACGGAAGGGGAGAGCACAGGAGGAGGAGCAGGAGCUCACGGCGGUUCCAAAGGAGGCAACAGUGACGGAGGAGGAGCUCGGGGCAUGGCGAAUCGACCUCGAGGUUGCCGGCGGCCGGAGAUGGGGAGGGAGCUCGCGCUCGUCGUCUCUGGGCCCUGCGGUCCGAUUCCUUCGGCGGUGAGGUUGAGGGCGAUGCAGCUGAGCUACCGGGGAUCUUUGGAGGACUUCGGGUGGUUGGAGGUGUCGGUGAGCUCGAGCCGAGGUCGGCCAUGGCGAGAGGAAAAAGUKCAGAGGGGGAGAGAUAAGGGAGAGAGAGAGGGAGGGGCUCGGGGGAGGACGAAAAGAGAGGCACGGGGGGGGGGGGGUGGGGUUGCUAGCGCGGAGAAGGCGAGGAGAGGCUGCCACGACGAGCAGGAGGUGGCAAGGUGAGCCGCCAUGCUCAUCUUCUCCCCUGCUUUCUGGCAGGAGGAGGGAGACGAUAGGGAACCCCCCUUGGUGGGCUGGGCCUGGAGGUAAGCGUCACGUAAAUUCUCUCUCUCUUUUCCUAUUUUUGUUUUAUUUCUUUGUGGCAUUUAGAUUUAGGUUUAAAACAAAAUGUUUAAAUAUUUUAUUAAACCCUAAAUUAGUGUUAUGUGAGAGAUAAAGAUAAUCAAUGCCACAUAAUAGUUUCAACAUUUUUGAAACUUUUAUUUUAAAAGAAAACAAAAUAACUCCAUUCCGAACAAUUAUUUGAUCAUGUCAAAAAUCCUUUUCAAAAUGUUCCAGUGACUUCAAAUUUUGGGUUGACAAAUUUAUUCCUUGUCACUAUUUUCCCAAAUAUUUGGAACAUUUUCCUGGUUCCUUCUAAGGUAUUAAUUUUUAUUGCCUUGUUGCCAAUUUUUCAAAUCAUUGGGGUUUUGAUUACUUCCUAUUUUAAACAUCAAAGUUUUAUAAUGCAUGCAUGAAUGCUUGGCAAACAAAUGAAAGCUAGGGCUGUGGCAUCCAUAUAUUAUUUCACAAUGAUAUUUAGCUAUCCGAUGAUGUUUGAGUAGAUCCGUUUUGUCCUAUGGGUUAGUUGUGGUAUGAUGCUAUUGAUAUGAUUUGUAUGUUGAUAUGGUGUUGUCCUAUGGUGCCCUCUGUGUUGUGCAAGCGGAGGGAUCCCCGUUGUAGGGUACUGCAAUAUGUCCAUAAUUUGCUUAUGGAGGGUUGCUUGAGUCACAGAUGCAUAAACCCAAGUAGGUGGGGUAUGGCGUAUGGGAGUAAAGAGGACUUGAUACUUAAUGUUAUGGUUGGGUUUCACGACCUUAAUGAUCUUUAGUAGUUGCGGAUGCUUGCUAGAGUUCCAAUCAUUAGUGCAUAUGAUCCAAGUAGAGAAAGUACAUUAGAUCAUGCCUCUUCCUCAUUGCAUAUAACAAGUAUCUAUUGUAUCAUAUUCAAUUGCAUAGGGACAAUCUUUCCAUUGCGUUACAAAAAGCUUUAUGCAUCACUACCAAGUUUUUUUACUUGCAACGUACUUCGAGUUUACUUAACGCAAAGUAGUUUCAUAGUAAUUAUAGGUGGAGCAAGCAUUAGCGUGCGUAGUUUUGUAUCGGUGGUCAAUAGAACUUGAGGGAAUAUUUAUUCUACCUUUAGCUCCUCAUUGGGUUCGACACCCUUACUUAUCGAAAAAGCCAACAAAAGAUCCCCUACACUUGUGGGUUAUCAAGACUAAAUUCCAUUACGUGGAUGUCAAAGUCACAAAGUUGGCUUCAAUUGUUGAGCUCCUCCAGCAUGAGGUUGAUGCAGUGCAUAUAUCCCAUUCUAGCAGUGAUGAUGAAGAGUCUCCUCUUCCAACGACUACUCAGUUCAGGACACAGUCUAGGUCUGCAGUUGUGCCAGUGGAAGAAGCAAUACCAACUUCGUCACCUCAAGCAUCAGCGCCUUUAUCUCCAACUCCAGCUCCUGCACCUCCAGAGUCUACAGCUCCACCUCCAGGGACAUCCGCAGAAGCCUUUGCCGACGCUCUCCUGUCUACUCCAUCGACUCCUACCGGAGGAGAUCAAGCCUAUUGUGACGCUUAGUUCUAGACCUUUUAACUUUUGGGUAACUUGUUGCCAAAGAGGGAGAAGUGUAUAGAUCAAUUAGGGCUGAUAGAGAGAGAGAGCUUUGCUUUUAUUUUCUCUCAUUUUGGUUUUUCAAAACAUUUGGUCUUUUGGUCCUUUGGAUGACUUAAUCUUUACUCCAUGGUCAUUUAUUUAAUUAGACAUGGGAAAAUCUAUUACAUAUAUCAUGAUAAAUUUGUUAGAUAUAUCAUGGAAGAUACUUUAAGAUGUCACAUUGUUUUCUCUUAUUCAUACCAUGGAAAAUUUAUUUAUUAGACCAUGGUAGUUUUAUAAUAUGUAGCAUCGAAAUUUUAUCUAUUCAAACAUGGAAAGUUUAUCAUAUGUAGCAUGGCAUUUUUAUGAGUUGGACUAUGGAAAAUUUUGGAAUUCUAUUAUUUACCAUCUUUUUUUCAAAGAUAAAAUUUCCUAAAAAUAGAUUUUGCCCCUAAUUAUAAAUAUAAAAUAAUUGUCAUGUUUCUCAGAGAACAUAAUUAAUAAUUUUUUGUCGUGUUAUUAUUAGCAAAUCAAAAACAUUAGACCAUAAAAUUUUAUUAAUUAGUUCAUCAAAAAAUUGGAAUUCUUACAAUGGCCAAUUAUUAAUUACACCAUUUGCAAUUUUAUUCUAAAUUCCAUGGCAAUUUCAUUUACUAGACCAUAGAUCUUUUUUAAUUAAACCAUGGUAGUUCUAGUUUUGUAGCUACCAUUACAAUUCUAUUUUUUAGUCAAUGGCAAUUUAUUUAAUUAUACCGUGGCAAACUUAUUACAUAUAGCAAGGACAAUACUUUGUAUAUAAGAAUGGCAUAUUUUAUUGAUCAUUCCAUGGAAAAUUAUUUUAGUAUGUUCCAUUAUAAUUUUCAUAUUGCAUAUAGAUGAAAAAACAUGGAGUCAUGGAAAAUUUCUCUAUGUUUUUCAUGUACAUUUCCUAUUAGUUAUGUAUGUUUAUUUUUUCAAACAUGAAAUUUUACGGGCAUGUGACCCUUCUGUAAAAAUGAUAUACACUUUGUCGUGUCACCAAUAUGUAUUUUUCCGCAAUUUUCCCAUGUUACCAUUUUAUAUGAAUCAUGUUAGACACCUUUUUUGUGCUUGUAAUGUAAGUACCUUUAUUUUAUAUAACACAAAAAUACUUAGUUUAACUAUACAAGUUUUUCUACACAAUACCAUGAUGGUUUUUGUGUGCAUGAUGGCAAGUUUUUCAUUUAUUUUUUCUACUUAUUUUGACGCUUGGGCCGUUUUUGGGUUUUUAUUAGAGGGAAGGAAAUUAAUGAUGUUGGAAACCCAUCAACGGCUAGAAUGUUUGGACUAUGGGGUUUCCUCGAGUGAGCAAAAAAAUUCACUCGGUUAGCGUGUAGGUUUUUAAUCAAUAUUUGAUAACGCAAUCAAAUAGAAUACACACAGUUAGUUAACAUAUUUGAUCUGAUUACACUUAAUUACUUUAUUUAAUUCAAUAUAAUAUAUAUAAUCAUUUAGUUAACUAAUUAUUUUAAUUAAAGGUUAGAAUUGUGGACAUAUGAUUAUAGGAUCAAAAGUAUGUCUAGAAGGAGGUGAAUAGACUACUGGCAAAAAUUAAAGGACUAUUUUCCCAAUUUUGAUUACUAGUAGAUUCAAACUUAGCUAGAAAUACAAUAGAACCCUGAAAAUGCAUGUCUAGAGUAUAAGGAGCAGAAACAAUGCAUGCAAGUGCAACUAAUGUACAUAGUAGAGUUUGAGAGAAUCACAAACAUAAGUUGAUACGGUGUAGAUUCUUUACCAUGGUUCCAAGAAGUGGUGCUAUCAUACAUACACAUUAAUGGAGUCUUCGAUCCAUGGAGGAUCUAAUAUCACAUAGUAGAGUUGCGAGAUCCCAUGGAGGAAUCGAUUUCACGAAGAUCUCACACCCACAAAGGAUCCAUGAAGGAGCAACCUCACCUAUUCCACCAUGGCUUACGCCCAUGAAAGACUAUGCCGAGUCAGGUAGAUCUUCACAAAGUAGGAGAUCUCCAAGGCCUCACAAACAUCUUGGCCUCUGCACAAUGGUUGCAGACUUCUAAGCACUCCUGGCCGAUCUAGAAGGCACUAGCCUCCGAAAGGUAAUAGAUGGAGUUAUUUAUGAUGAACUCCUUUCUCUUGUGCUUGAAAAUAUAAUCACCGCAAAACUCAAACACUCUCAUAGAUUUUAGCUUUUGGGAGUUGAGGUUUUGGAUGAACAAAAUGAGGUGACUUGGUCUUAAACAAUUAAAGGUUGGAGUGGAAUCAUUAAUAUCAUCAUCGCUUUGAAAAAUAUGUGAUAUACAAGAACACCCCUAAAUUUUGCAUUAAUUAGAUUUGUGUUUAAAUGCAAUUGCAUAACAGAUUAGGAAUAUGAGGACCUCUUGUAUGCCGCAGACAACUUGGUGUGCACAAAUAUAAUAUAAAAAAAAACACCAAAACACAUGUCAAUGACCACCAAAGAUACACUAGAGCUUAGACGAGUAGCAUAAGUAUAGUAGCACACUACUUUGGUUCAUCACAUACAAAUAAAUGAGUUUACAAGGCAUAAAAUUCAAGUAAAGUAACAAGGAAUGUUACUCGGUAAAAUAAACGCUCCCUAACUCAAAGUUAUAUUAUAUAUAUAUCACUCCCCUUUUUAGUAGUGGGAGAGACAAGGGGGCGAGCAAGGGCCUGCCCCCCUAAUGAUCGACAAUUUAUUUAGAGGCUACAAGUAAUUACCUGCUAGAUUAAGGAAUAUAAAUACUUUCGCCCCUUAACCCAAACGAAGAUUAUGAAGAAUUACGGGCAAAAGGCCCAAAGAAAAGCCCACUCCUCAACAAGGAAUCUAUUACUUGGCCUAUGGCGUUAUCCUAAAUCAAGCCAACCCCUGAGCAUGAUUAACUUGUAACCUGAGACGAUUAGCUCUAGCGAUGGCCACUGCAUCGUGCCCUCACACUACUCGUGAAGUCGAUUAGAAUGAGGCGAAACCGGCUCCGCAACUGGCGAAUCAAGGUUGCACUCUGUCAAUUCUCAAGGGGUCCAGCCCCAAGGUUAGGAAUAUUGGGAACUACUCUAUCUACUAAUCCCUAUCAUCUCUAAUCUUGUAGGAGUUGAAAUUGUACACCCAACUUUAGUUAUUUUGACGGUGUGAUGUAUGAUUCUAAUUCACUUUCAGUUUCUUUCAUUGUUUGAUUUGUGAUGUGGUCAUGAGGGAAAACGGCUUCAAACGACAUAAAGAUUAAUUCUCUUUUUAAGUACAUUGUUUUAAGUUCUCGACCUAGAAUAAUAUUGUCAAUGAGAUUAUUGGCAAUUUUUAGCAAUCACAAUUAAGUGGACAUGACUUCUUUGAAAUUAUUGAAGGCACAAUUCCACCCUAAGGUGGUUUUCGUAAUUAAUAAAAACAUAUGUAUCAUUGAACUAAUGAUUCUAUCCAAGUAUAUUUCAGAAAAGUUCAAAGUUGCACCGGCUAAAUGGUUGUGAGUAGAAACCCCUUGGUGCAAGGAAAGGAAUAGGAUUGGCCAAACUUGAAGCAAGAGGAAUCUACAUUUUAUAUUUGUGAGAAAUCACUUUUGAGUCCAUAGGAAAGUCAGUACUAUUAAAAGGGGGUGAGGUAUUUAUGAUGAAUUGAUUGCGCAAGUGCUUAGCAAUAGCCACCAAAAAUACUCGACAUUCCUCUCACUAAAAAUCUCAGUCCAAAGCCUUUACACCAAAAUCGGUGCCACCAAGAAUUCCAUUUCGGCCCUACCGAUUUUACAAGUGAUAAUGCUUUGCCAAACCCUAAUCUCUUGGUACCACUAACUUUCACAUCGAUGCCACCGAAAGGCAAUGACCAACUCUCUAGUAACUCUAUUUGAAGAAUCAGAACUUCCGAGAUUGAAAUCGGCACCAUCGAGAUUUGGAAACUGUCCUAGGUCAUCGAAUCGGUACCAUCGAGAUAUAUAUCAGUCUCACCGAGAAUUCAAAAGUUGCCACAUUUAGUGCAACUCGAUACCACCGAGAUUCAUUUCGGUGUCGCCGAGUUGGGAAAUAAUGUUGUAAUGGUUGGAUUUGGAUAUGCCUAUAUAUAACACUCCACCACUAUUAGAGCAUAUUUCUCCAUAUGUGAUUUUGGUAAUUGAUGACAAUCCCUAUGUACUAAUGGUUGCCUUAAGAUAUAUUUGUAGGAUUUGUCCAUAGGCACUUCUUGAAGUCCAUCUGUUGGUUUCAAGGAGUUUAUGUGAUGACUAAGGUGGUAUCCAAGGUUUUAUCCAAAGAUUGGUCAUAAAGACGCAAAGUUGAUCAAGACUAAGUCAAAGAGUAAAUCAAGUUGAUCAACACACAAAGCGUACAAGAUGUACCGAGAAAGAUCAAGUGAUCCCAUGGUAUGUCAAGCAUUGUCCAUUACGCUUUGUGUACUAACCCAUGGUAUUCAUGAGAGUUCUAUGUAGGGUUAGGUGUGUUUCCAUGGGUUUGCGUCAAGAGGAAGAUCUCAUUCAACCCAUGGAAGAUUGUGGUGUGCAAGUUCAAGUGGAGCAUCAUGAAGAUAUCAUGCUUGAAGCUUGUCGUCCAUUGUGGUGGCAAUGGACUUGUGAAGAUGUGUUGAAGAGUAGCUCACCCAUAGUGGAGUAUGGAGGAAAUUUACAAGUCUUCAUCGAGCCAGCACAAUCAAGAAAGGUGGUUCAUCUUGAGGAAGUCAAGAGCAUCAUAAUCUACCUCAAGUGGAUAGCUACAAGAUAUUGGUUUGCCCUUAAUAGGUUUUUUCUAUUUUAGGAUAGAUUGUCGUAUUGUCAAGGAGGGUUCUCAAGUGAAUAGCUUGAUUGUAUCAUUCGUUGAGAGCUCAAACCAUUUGCAUCCUUGCAUCAUCUUUCUUGGUUCUUGUUUGGUUGUUCUCUUUGUGAGUUCAUGUGCAUCCUCUAUGAUGUUUUCGAUAUUGGAGUUUUUGUCGGUUCUUCAUUCAUAGAGGUUUCACAUCUCUGUAUCAUUGGCAUUUUUCUACUACAUCUUCUUGCAAUAACCAUUCGUUGAUUGGCUAACACUUAUCGUGUGUAAUCCAACAAGUUAUGGUUGUUUUUGGCUUACCUGUUUUUCACUAAGAGUUUGUACCACCCCUAAGAGAGGUUGUACCGCUAUAUUACAUUUACCGGUUGCACCGCCCCUAUGUUCUUCUGCACAUAACGAGCAGAUUUGUGGGGACCUAUUUAAGGGGAUAUUCUUCCCCAAUGGUUCCCUAACUCUUGAGCUUGUUUUUGCCCCCCAUUGUUGACCUUCUUAGAGCUUGCUAACUAUCAAUCCCUCCAAUGAUUCUUGCUCCUUUUUGAGGGAAACAAGAGAGGAGAUCUAGAUCCACAUUUCCACCAAUAACUUUCUCCUCUAUGUGAGGGGAAUCCCUUGGAUCUAGUUCUUGGAGUUCUUGGUUUUCCUCUUUGUUCUUACUCUCAUUUUCCACCAUAGCAUUAGCUGUUGUGGUGGGAUUUGGGAGAGAAGGACCUGGGCACUCCAUGUGCCCUUGCCAUUGCAUUUGGUGCAUUGGUUUGAGUUCUCCAUGGUGAUACGUGGAAGUAAUGUUUGAGAAUCUUAUUACUCUUUGGUGCUUGGUACCUUAGAGCUAGUUCUUCUUGGAUGCUUUGGCAUCCUAUAACCUUGGUGGUGCCUCGGAGCUCAAUCAUUGUGGUGUAAAGCUCCAGGCAAGCGUCGGGGUCUCCAAUUAGGUUGUGGACAUUGCCCCGAGCAUUUGAGGUUACCUUGAAGCCAUAUUCCAUUGUCGUGAAGCUUCGUGGUGUUGUUGGGAGGCUCUAAUUAAGUUGUGCAGAUUGCCCCCACCUUAUUUGUAGUUUGUACGGAUUCACUGACCUCCCUCAAGGGUCCCUUAGUAGAAUCACGACAUCUUGCAUCGUGCGAGGGCGUGAGGAGAUUACGGUGGCCUUAGUGGCAUAUUGGGGAUCAUUGUGGCUCCACACCGCUCCAAACGGAGAUUAGCAUCCGCAAGGGUGUGAACUUCGGGAUACAUCAUCGUCUUCACGUGCUUCGGUUAUCUCUUACACCCGCCCUUUACUUAUGCACUUUACUUUGUGAUAGCCAUAUUGUUUCUUGUUAUAUAUCUUUCUCUCACAUAGUUGUUUAUCUUGCUUAGCAUAAGUUGUUGGUGCUCAUAGGUGAGCCUAGUUGUUUUAGGUUUUGUGCUUCACAAGUUAACUGUUGAUUUUAUUCCGUAUUUGUUCAAGCCUAAACUGUAAUAAUUUUAAAGCGCCUAUUCACCCCCCUCUGGGCGACAUCCACGUCCUUUCAAUUGGUAUCAGAGAUAGGUCUCUCGUUAUUAGGUUUUACCACCUACAGAGUAAGGAUGUCGAGUAGGCGAUUGGGAUUCUCUAACACUCUUAGUUUUAAUGGCACAAAUUUUGAUGUUUGGGUAAUUUACAUGCUUAAUCUCUUUAGGGUCAUGGACCCAAAUUUAGAGUGAAUCGUAGAUGUGGGUUUUUUUUCCUCCAAAGGAUUCUCAAAACAUAUAUUUAGAGGAUGAGAAAAACUCUUAUCUCAAUGCUCAAGCUUCUAAUGUGCUUUUUGAAUCUUUGAGCAAUGUGGUUAUAUUUCAACUCAUGUCAUUCUGGGAUGCUCAUUAGUUGUGUACAAAGCUUCAAGAUAAAUAUGGUGUGUCCAAGAUUUGUAGGGAUGAUUUUUCUCCCUCCACCUCCGGCCGUGUUGUAUUCUCAACUUCAUCUACUUCACCUACAUGUCGAUUUCCACAAGGUAAUGAUAUGGUGAGUAGUGGUGAUCAUUGCAAUGAUGAUAGUGGGCUUAUUGUUAAUGAUACUUCAUCACUAUCAUAUUGUAAUGCUUCAUCUUUGGGCGUUAACACUUCGAGCACUCUAAAUGUUUUACAUGCCUGUGUUGAUAGUCCUUGCAUAUCAUGUAAAAACUGCUUGACUAAAUCUCAUGAUGAUAUGCUUUCUAUAUCUUGUUGCCAUGAUAAAAAUGUAUCUAUUUCCUCAAGUUGUUGUGCUAGCAAUGUAGAGGAAAUCCAUCACUCCAUGUAACAAGAUGUGGCCUUUAAUGAUGCUUCAAGGGAUCCUUCAACAUCAUCUAUUGUUUCUCAUUUUCGCCUUAUGGCUAAGGCUUCAAAGGUAUCUCCUACUUUUGAAUCCCAACAUAUCUCAUGAUGAUGAUGUGGAUGAAACUGUGGAUGGAGAUAAUGAUGAAGAGAGUGAUAAUAUUGCAUCCUUAAAACAUAAGGGUGAAAUGAUUUUUAAACCUCUUCAUAAGAAUAAUCUUGCUCAUUCCAACUUCAUGGAAAUCAUGUCUAUUGCCAUUGAGGGCAAGAAAUAUAUUGAGGAGUUGGAAGCUCAUCUUGAGGAGCAUGAGGCCACCAUUGAGACAAUGGAAGGUCAUGAGCGUGAUUACGCUAAUGAGAUAGCAGAGCUAUCCCAAGGUCUUGAAAAUGAACAAACCACCAAGAAAUCUCUUGACGAGACCUUUUCUAUAGAAUUAUAUAGAUUAAAGGAAACCCAUGAUAAAGCUCUCGAGGCGGCUAAUGAUUUUAGAACUAAAACUUAUAAGCUUGAAGUUGCUCAUGCUAGAAUCCUUGAGGACUAUGAGCACCUCGAAAAUGGCUCAAGGGCUAUGAAGAGUUUGAUCAUCGAACUCACUGAUUUUCAUGCUCAAUUUGGAGCUUCAUAUGCAAAUGAGCUUGCCAAGUUGCCUUCUCCUCUUGUUGUUGAUAAUAAUGCCUGUGCUUCUAUCUCUAUUUCUUGUGAAUCAUCCAUAUUAAAGGAGAAUGUUGAGCUAAGGGCUCAACUUGAGUUGCUAUCUAGCAAUUAUGGGAAAUUGGCAGAAAGUCAUGCAAUGCUCACAAGCUCUCAUGAUGAUCUCCUAGUAUCCCAUAAUAUGCUAAAAUUAGCUCAUGAGGCUAUUACUACCAAGGUAACAUCAAGUGAGCCUCAUGUGGACAUUAGCACUACUUCUAGUCAAAAUGCUAUAUUGCCAUGUGCUAGUCCUCGUAAAUCAUCUACUCAUAAUGUUGCUACAUCUUGUGAUGAAUUACUUUCCUUACAUUGUUUCUCGAACAAUGAUGCUUAUAAUUCCUCGAGUACUUGUGUUGAUACUAACCAUGAAGAGGAAAUCAAAGAGCUCAAGUCCCAAGUCACUUCUUUGAAGAAAGACUUCCAAAAGAGUCAUGAAGGGAUGUCCACACUCAACAAUAUCCUGUGUGGGAAAAAAUCCCAAAAUGGCAAAGGUGGACUUGGAUUCAACUCCAAUAAGAAGAAGAAGUCCAAGAGCAACAAUAAGAAGGGCCAAGAACAAAUCAAGAACUCGGCCAAGAUUGCUUGCUUCAAGUGCAAGAUUGAAGGGCAUCAUGUUAGAUCUUUCCCAUUGAAGAAGAAGCCGCAUAGUCACAAGCAACAAGGGAAGCGGCCACAAGUUCAAUUACAUGCUCAACCACAAGUUCAAGAAAGUCUACUUCCCAAGAAUAUCCAAGUAAACGCUCCUCAAAUUAAGAAAUCAAUUGAGAAGAAAGUAAAGGGUAGGUGUUGCUACUUAUGUCGUGAGAAGGGUCACUUCGUCUCUUCAUGCACGAACAGUAACUUAUCCAACCCAAUCAUUAUUGAUGAUAUCUAUUCUGUUGGGAAGGAUAAAGUUGUCAAUGUGUUUGCCAAGUUUGUUGGUACUCCAAGUGGUGUCAAGAAAAGAACCAUUUGGGUAGCCAAUCCUAUUGUGACUAACCUCUUAGGUCCCAACUUGGUUGGGGACCCACAAACUCAAACUUUAUCAAUAGGUGAUGUUUGAAGGCAUUAGAGACUUUGCUAAAUUAUGAACAAUUAAGGGAUCUUCAUCAUUAAAAUUAUCUCAAGCCAAGUCAUUUGGAUGAUCGAGUUUCCAUCUUAUAUCCAACGUGCCUCCUUACGGUAACUUGUACUUAAAUUGGUUACAUUGUUAGUUACUUUCUCCUAUGCGUGUUGUGGUUUUUGCCUUGCAUGUGCUUGUAUAUAUUGUGCUUCCAACUUGCUUAUCUUGAGUAUUCAAGUAUGUGUAUAUUGGUUUGCACAUCUUGUACAUGUGAGUUUUGUGUUGAGACUUUUUGCAUUGCUUGUAUCUUAGUUGGCUCUUUUGAGAUAUUAAUGGAUUAUCGCAUUGUGGGGGAGUGAUGUGCUUUGCGCACCUCACAAUCCUAUAAAUGUGUAUAUAUGAGGAAUACCACUUAGUAUUGAUAUUUGAAGAUUAUCUAGUCUCUAUGUGGUAUGUCUUACUCAUGAGAAAUUCAAAUUCUAAAUGGUCCAUUAAUUAUCUCUUGUUGGUUUUCAUUUUCCACUUGUUAAUAAUAUUAGGUUAUCACAUUAUGAGGGAGUAAUAUGCUAUGUGCAUAUUACAAGCCUAGAAAAUGUGUAUAUUUGAGGUAUUGCCACUUAGUGUUGAUAUUGUAGAUUAUCUAGUUCCUGGGUGCCAUGUUAGCUCUACAAGUGUGAGUUCCUUGCAUUUUAGGAGUAAAGAUGAUGUUGGAUAUUUUUGCAAUCUACCAAUGGAAAUUGUUUCCAAAUACUUCUUAUCCUUUGACAAUUGGUAUUCCCAUCAUGUGGUAGAAAUUGCUAAUCAUCUUUACAUUGGAUUUUAUGUAUCGUUUGUCUUCCUUGCCUCUUCUCGAUUGGUUUGAACAUGUCUUGUGUUUCUACAGAUAUAGAAAAAGUGAUGAUACCAUCUGGUGUUGUCGGCGAUGCUAGGUCGACACCUAUGGUGAUCAUCAUGCUACCCUUGUGAUCGUAGGGCGGGGGAAGACAACGUCAAGAGCAGAUCUAACGAUCAACACCUGGCAUGCAUUUUUACCCAGGUUCGGGCCGCUUAUGCGUAAAACCCUAUGUUAUGCUCGUCUGAUCGUAUUAAGCAUUUUUCGUUGUUUGUUACAGUCAUGAUAACCGUCUUCUUGGCCAAUCUCUAAAAAGUCCAACCCCUUGUGAAUGAGCUAAGGGCUGAUACAUCUCAAACGUAUCUAUAAUUUUUGAUGGUUUCACGUUGUUAUCUUGCCUUCUUUGUAUUUUUUAUGUACCUUUUUAUAUCUUUUUGGGACUAACUUAUUAAUUCAGUGCCAAGUGCCAGUUCCUGUUUUUUCCGUGUUUUUCACUCUUUUCAGAUCUGAUUAUGGAACGGAGUCCAAACGGAAGAAAAACCCCGAAAUGAUUUUUUUCCCGAACGGAAGAAGUCCAGGUGGCUUUUGGGCCAAGCCAGGUGGGCUCCAGGGAGCCCACAAACCCCCACUCUGCCACCAGGGGGGAGGCGGCGGUGGGCAGGCUUGUGGCCUCCCUGGCCGCCCCCUGAGCUAGGUGUUUGGCCUAUAAAUUCCCAAAUAUUCCGCAAAAAAUUAGGGGAGCUUCAAAAAUACUUUUUCACCGUCGCAAGCUUCCGUUUCCGCGAGAUCUCAUCUGGAGACCCUUCCUGGCACCCUGCCGGAGGGGACUUUGGAGUUGGAGGGCUUCUUCAUCAUCAUCAUUGCCCCUCCAAUGACUCGUGAGUAGUUCAGUUCAGACCUACGGGUCCGUAGUUAGUAGCUAGAUGGGUUCUUCUCUCUCUUGGAUCUUCAAUACAAAGUUCUCCAUGAUCUUCAUGGAGACCUAUCCGAUGUAAUCUUCUUUCGUGGUGUGUUUGUCGAGAUCCGAUGAAUUGUGGACUUGUGAUCAGAUUAUCUAUGAUUUAUAUUUGAGACUUUGCUGAUUUCUUAUAUGCAUGAUUUGAUAUCCUUGUAAGUCUCUCCGAGUCUUGGGUUUUGUUUGGCCAACUAGAUCUAUGAUUCUUGCAAUGGGAGAAGUGAUUGGUUUUGGGUUCUGCCAUGUGGUGACCUUUCCCAGUGACAGUAGGGGCACCAAGGCACACAUCAAGAAGUUGCCAUCAAGGGUAAAAAGAUGGGGUUUUUAUCAUUGGUUUGAUAUUAUCCCUCUACAUCAUGUCAUCUUUCUUAAGGCGUUACUCUGUUCUUAUGGACUUAAUACACUAGAUGCAUGCUGGAUAGCGGUCGACGAGUGGAGUAAUAGUAGUAGAUGCAGAAAGUAUCGGUCUACUUGUUUCGGACGUGAUCCCUAUAGAAAUAAUCAUUGCAUAGAUAUCGUCACGACUCUGCACAGUUCUAUCAAUUGCUAGACAGUAAUUUGUUCACCCUCCGUCUAUUUGCUUUCAUGAGAGAAGCCACUAGUAAACACUACGGCCCCCGGGUCUAUUCACAUCCAUCGUUUACAACUCCGCUUUUACUUUUCUUUGUUACUUUGUUGCUUUCAAUUCUCACUUGGCAAACAAUCUAUAAGGGAUUGACAACCCCUUCAUAGCGUUGGAUGCAAGCUAUUUGUGUUUGUGCAGGAUCUUGAGAUACUCUUCCGCCGGAUUGAUACCUUGGUUCUCAAACUGAGGGAAAUACUUAUCGUCGUUGUGCUACAUCACCCUUUCCGCUUCGAAGGAACACCAACGCAAGGCUCCAAGGCCACGGGGGAAAUCCUUUGCUACUUGCCUAGGAAGUCCCUUAAGGCGUAGAUGUAGCUGAAGGAUUCCUGGUGCCGUCGACACAACUAUUUCUGGCGCCGUUGCAAUGGAUACACAGCAAACAUCAAGGGCUUCCUUUUAUAAGCAAAGAGGUCACCUACAGUACUUGAUGGUAGGAUCACGAGAUGUUACAGUGAACCUAGAGCGGUGCUUAUCCAUCUACCGCUGUCAGGUGCAUUAAAUGCACGUCUUGUUCUUGUCAGCUAAGUGCUGUUGAAGACAUGUGUCCAGGUGUUUCGACACCUGGACGCCCUGCUGGCGCAUGUGGAAUGCGGGGGAGGUGGCACUGUGGCAAGGGCGGUCGCCCUUAGUGCCUUGCCAGGUCAUCUCGACAAGGGUGCUUGCCGGGGUCUUGGGUCUUCCUCCCGGUGAGGAAGAUUACCGGGGGGGCUUCGGCUGUCUUCCUGGUGAGGGAGGCUUGUCGGGGUCUUGUGCUUGGUGCGCUCAUCGCGUCCAUUAAACAGACAUGGCCUUGGAUGUCUUCCCGGCAAGGCAGGCUUGCCGGGGCCUUGGAUAUCUUGGGGGUGCGUCUUGUCUGGACUUUGCCACACCCUGCCGUCAGGGGCUCUUUGCGCCCGUGCACAAGUCUGGGGCACUAAAUACCCCAGUCUUUAGUGCACCGACAGGAGCUCCCGGGCCAGGGCCACACACAUGUGCGGAGCGUUGUUGGGCCAGCGCCAAAGAGGUGCACGAGCCUCUGUGGCUGGAUCUGUUCGCGGUUGCCUUUCCCCAUGCCGCGCAUCGGAUGCACAAAGUGGGAGAUCAUGCGCGGAGUGGCCUCUCCGCCUCCUGAAACGCCUCUGCCACGUGCGUGGCAUGCGCAGUCAUUGAUGGACAGGUGGCAGACGAGGCCUAAAAGGCGCAGUAGUGGUUGGGCCCACCCGUGCAUGCAUUGGCGCAUCGAGGCGGUUCUCUGUUCGCCCGUGAGCUCGAGCGAUUGGUCCUAGAGGGUGGUGGCUUCUGGAGUGAGGGAGGCUAGCCCCCGCGCCCUGUCCUAUAAAUUGGGAGGGUUUGCGAGGGGUUUUGCUCACUCAACUUCUCCUGGAUCCACCAACUCUUCAGCCUUGGUUCUUCGAAUCUUCGACUGUCUGCUGGUGGCACUUGCCCCUAACCAUGGUUAGGGGACGGGGUCGGCCACCGUCGGCCGUGAGGGCGGCGAGGGGAUCCCGUUCGGAUCAUGCCACAGCUUCUAAGGGUGCCGCGACGGAAGACGGACGGGACGCCCGUGGUGGAGGAAAGGCGAGGGGCCGAGGUCGCCACGGAGGUCAAGGCCGGGGGAGGCGGAGCGCUACUCCAACGUAUCCUCCUUCCCGGGGCUUGCUCCUGUGGCGGCCCUCCAUGUUGAUUUAGGGGCCCCACGUGUGCUUAUCGAUGGCUGCGAAGGGAGCCCGAGCGACGCCAAUUGUCCUGCCUCGAUCGCUAGCGACGAGGAGGACAGUGGCGGCGGCGAGGUUUGUGUUGGGUUAGCGCCAUGGGGCAUCAGACUGGAUGUGGACCCCCGGGCCCCAACUAGACGUAGAACGCCCCAUCAUGGUUGGCUCACGGCUCGCCCCCGCCCGACGGGGGCGGCUUGCCUUAGCUGGCGUUGGUGCCUCGUGUUUGAGGAGGAGGCACCUCCACCAGCUCUGACUUCUCCACGUCCCCUGCUUGGGGCACCUAACCGGAGCGGGUAUUGGUCCCCCGGCUCCGGGAGGAGGCGCGCCCACCGGUUCCGGAUCCUUCGCCCCUUCAUGUGCCCCGCCCUCUGCAUCUCGGCUGGAGGGGGGCCACGCCACGCCCGUGGGGCCGGUCUCGUUCUCGCUGGCUCAGGGCCGACCCUGGGCGGCCAGUUCUGACCGCGUCGUCGGCUCCGCGUUUUUAUCUUUUUGAACUUCACUCCUCCGCGCGGGUCGGUCCUCGUCAAAAGACACGRUCUUUAGGUUAGUACAACCACGCUUUGUAAGUGAAGCCAACUUUAUCCAUUCAUAUGAACAAAAAAGACUGUUUUUCCUUUUUUCGAUUCCGUUCUUUGUAUGAUUCAUUUUUGCAUAAUCUCGGAGCUUGCAGGAGACUACCGGCAAGGCUCCUUGAUGCGUUCGAUGCAACCAUGGAAAUCGCCAACCGCAGCUUGAGACAAAAUCGGGUGCUACGUAGCCGCUUGCUGAGUUGAUCAGGUUCGCAACUGUUUGAAGGCGCUCUGUGGCCAUUCAGGUCGUUUGAACGAGUUCGAAACAAAGACAAGGUUCACCGAACUUUCGGAAGGUCCUAGUACUCGCAAACUCCUCACACAAAGAUUGGAAACUUUUGAAGGGAAAAAGCAAAGGAUCUAUCUACUUCAAAUCUGAAUCUCGAACUUAAAAACUUAUCUGUCCAUGCCGUGAUUGUGAGGCACUUGAAUCUUUUGUCGGAGYCUUUGGAAAGCGGGAAAUCACCGCUCCUUGUGGUCUCUUCUCUGGCAAGGACUUCUCCCCGACGGUCCGUGACUGUCGCUUGGAGAAAGAGCCAGCUAGGGUGUAACCCCUUUGCUUUUCUCUGUUGGAUAGCUCUUGUCGUUGUGAAUUCAACAAGCUUKYKUUUGCUCGAUUCGGAGUUCGUAUGCAAGAGUUAGAGCAGUUUCAGUAUACAGAGGUAGCACCGCUCAUGGUGCGAGCGGUAGUACCGGUCCUGGAGCGGUAGUACCGCCCCUGAAGCGGUAGUAAUUUUUGACUACCGCUCCCGGGCGGUAGGACUACUCCCUUAGACGUUCUGGGAGCGGUAGUACCACUCCGAGCAGCGGUAGUACCGCUCCAGUCGGGCUGUGAGUGGGGGUAACGGUUGGAUUCGUUCCCCACUAUAUAGAGGAUGUCUUCUUCCCCAUUGGACCUUAUCUAUCCGUUGAGCUCGUAUUAUUCCCCCAUUGUUUACCUUCUUAGAGCUUCAAGAUAAAUAUGGUACAUACAAGAUUUAUGGGAAUGAUUGUUCUCCCUCCACCUCCGGUCGUGUGGUCUUCUCAACUUCAUCUACUUCACCUACACGUGGAUUGCCACAGGGUAAUGAUAUGGUGAGUAGUGGACAUCAUUGCAAUGAUGAUAGUGGGCUUAUUUUUGAUGAUCCUUAUCACUAUAAUAUUGCAAUGCUUCAUCUUUUGGCAUUAACACUUUGAGCACUCUAAAUAUUUUACAUGCCUGUGUUGAUAGUCCGUGCAUAUCAUGUAAAAACUUCUUGACUAAAUCUCAUGAUGAUAUGCUUUCUAUAUCUUGUUGCCAUGAUAAAAAUGUAUCUAUUUCCUCGAGUUGUUGUGCUAACAAGGUAGAGGAAAUCCAUCACUCUUCGGAACAAGAUGGGGCCUUAAAUAAUGCUUCAAGGGAGCCCACAUCAUCAUCUAUAGUUUGUCACUUUUGCCUUAUGGCUAAGGCUUCAAAGGUAUCUCCUACUUUGAAUCCCAAUAUAUCUCAUGAUGAUUAUGUUGAUGAUAAUAAGUAUGAGGAUAAAGAUGAAGAGAGUGAUGAUAUUCCAUCCUUAAAAAUUAAGGGUGAAAUGAUUUUUAAAUCUCUUUAUAAGAAUAAACUUGCUUGUUCCAACUUCAUGGAAAUCAUGUCUAUUACCAGUGAGGGCAAGAAAUAUAUUGAGGAGUUGGAAGAUCAUCUCGAGGAGCAUGAGGCCACCAUUCAGAGAAUGGAAGGUCAUGAGCGUGAUUAUGCUAAUGAGAUCGCGGAGCUAUCUCAAGCUUCUGAAAAUGAACAAACCACUAAAGAAUCUCUUGAGGAGACCUUUGCUCUAGAAUUAUCUAGAUUAAGGGAAUCUCAUGAUAGAGCUCUCGAGUUGGCUAAUGAUUCUAGAAAUAAAAAUGAUAAUCUUGAAGUUGCACAUUCUAAACUCCUUGAGGACUAUGAGCACCUUGAAAAUGGCUCAAGAGCUAUUAAGAGUUCGCUCAUCGAACUCACCGAGUCUCAUUCUCAACUUGAAGAGUCAUAUGCUAAAGGUCUUGCCAAGUUGCCUUCUCCUCUUAUUGUUAAUAAUUAUGCUUGUGCUAGUAACUCUAUUUCUUCUGAAGCAUCCAUUUUAAAGGAGAAUGUUGAGCUAAGGGCUCAACUUGAGUUGUUAUCUAGCAAUUAUGGGAAAUUGGAAGAAAGUCAUGUAAUGCUCACAAGCUCUCAUGAUGAUUUUCUAGUAUCCCAUAAUGUGCUUAAAUUAGCUCAUGAGGUUACUACUACCAAGGUAACAUCAAGUAAGCCUCAUGUGGACAUUAGCACUACUUCUAGUCAAAAUGCUAUAUUGCCAUGUGCUAGUCCUCAUAAUUCAUCUACUCAUAAUGUUGUUACAUCUUGUGAUGAAUUACUUUCCUUGCCUUGUUGCUAUAACAAUGAAGCUUAUACUUCCUCUAGUACUUGUGUUUAUACUAACCAUGUAGAGGAAAUCGAAGAGGUCAAGGCCCAAGUCACUUCAUUGAAGAGAGAUUUGGAAAAGUGUCAGGAUGGUAUGUACACACUCAACAAUGUCUUGUGUGGGAAAAAAUCCCCAAUUGACAAAGGUGGACUUGGAUUCAACUCUAAGAAGAAUAACAAGUCCAAAAGCUUCAAUAAGAAGGGCCAAGAACAAGUCAAGAAUUCUGCCAAGAUUGUUUGCUUCAAAUGCAAAAUUGAAGGGCACCAAGUUAGAUCUUGCCCAUUAAAGAAUAAGCCCCAAAGUCACAAGCAACAAGGGAAGCGCCAACAAGUUCAAUCACAUAUUCAACUUCAAGUUGAAGAAAAGUCUCUUCCCAAGAAGACCCAAGCCAACAUUCCUCAAGUUGAGAAAUCAUUUGGGAAGAAAGUAAAGGGUAGAUGUUGCUACUUAUGCCGCGAGAAGGGUCACUUUGCUUCUUCUUGCACGCGAGAUAAUUUAUCCAACCUAAUCAUUAUUGAUGAUAUCUAUUCUCUUGGGAAGGAUAAGAUUGGCAAUGUGUUUGCCAAGUUUGUUGGUACUCAAAGUGGUGUCAAGAAAAUAACCAUUUGUGUAGCCAAGCCUAUUGUGACAAACCUCUUAGGACCCAACAUGGUUGGGGACCAACAAGCUCAAACUUGAUCAAUAGGUGAUCAUGGAGGACAUUGGCGACUUGGUUUCAUCUUGAAGAAUUAAGGGACUUUCAUAAUUCAUAUUAUCUCAAGUCAAGUCAUUUGGAUUAUCGAGUUUCUUUCUUAUAUCCAAUGUGCCUCGUUACAGUAACUUGUACUUAAAUUGGUUACAUUGUUAGUUACUUUCCCCUUUGCAUAAUGUGGUCUUGUACCAUGCAUAUGUUUGUAUAUGUUGUGCUUCCAACUUGCUUAUCUUGAGUAAUCAAGUAUGUGUAUAUCGGUUUGCACACCAUGUACAUCUGAGUCUUGUAUUGAGCCUCUUUGCAUCAUGUUUGUAUCUUUGUUGGCUCUUUUGAGAGAUUAAUGGAUUAUCCCGUUGUGGGGAAAUGAUGUGCUCUGCGCACCUCACAAUCCGAUAAAUGUGCAUACAUGAGUAAUACCACUUAAUAUUAAUAUUACAAGUUUAUCUAGUCUCNNNNNNNNNNNNNNNNNNNNNNNNNNNNNNNNNNNNNNNNNNNNNNNNNNNNNNNNNNNNNNNNNNNNNNNNNNNNNNNNNNNNNNNNNNNNNNNNNNNNCAUGAUGCAUAUGUAGAUAGUUCUGAUGUAAGUCUUGCUGAGUACCUUUGUACUCACUGUUGCUUUAUUUAUGUUUUUGCAGAGAAGUUUUAGACUCAUUAUAAGGUUCUAAGCGAUGUGUUCGAUGUUGACCGGAAUAGCUUGGGAAUCCCAGACUGAGGUCUGGCUCCUUUGGUAGGGUUGUAGUAGCUUUUCAGGCUCUUCCAACCAUUUUUAGUAGAUGUCUGUACCGAGACAUGUUUUGCUUCCGCUUGUUGUUUGUAUGACUUGAGUGUCGGGUCACGGGACCCCUUUUUGUAAUAACACACUAUGUUGAUUAUGAUGAGUCCUUAAUAAAAGCUUGAGUCAUAGAGUUAUGUUGUGAUGCCAUGUUGUAUCUACACAUAUCGUGCAUAUUCUGUGUAUGUUAUGAAAUGCAUUAUAUGUGUGGGAUUCGACACCUAGUUGUGUGCCUCUAGUAGUACUCUUUAUAGGGAAAUGCCUAUUUGUGCUUCUAUCGAGCCUUGGUAGCUUGCUACUGCUCUAGACACAUUGAUUGACCGGCGUGUAUCCUUSUUUGCUGCUGUGUCUGUCCCCUCGGGGAAAUGUCACGCGGUGUAAUGGAGCCCUUGUAGCUUGCUACGACUCGUCUACACACGUUGUUGAUCGACACCUGCUUUGCUGGGUUAUGUAUGUCUGUCCCUGUACGGAUGUACCUCUUGGGUUUAUAACUAGUCAUGUCGACCCGGGUUCUUUGUCCUUUGAACGCUAGCAACAUAUUCAUAUACGUGAGCCAAAAGACACAAACGGUCCCGGCCAAGGUAAGGUGGCAGCCGUGGAGUUUGCCGUGCGUGAGGCCGCAAAGUGAUGUGAUGUGUUACAGGCUGGGUUCUUAUGACUCAGGAUCGGGGUCCCGACAAUGGAGUUGAGCACCAUGUUUAAGUAGAGAUUACAGCGGGGAAGAGAGGUGUUACACCGCUGCAAAGGAGGGGAGAGAGUUCGUGUUUACGGCGGCAUGAUUGUUGGUGUAGAUUGUCGUCACGAUGAUUCGCCCCGGUGAAACUCUUGCACCUGAGGAGAGAGGGGGAGAGACCCCCCCUACUUCUUAUUCUUCCUUGGCCUCCCCUAGAUCGUAGGAGAGUUCCCUCUCUAGUACAUGGCCUCCAUGGCGGCGGAGGGGCGGUAUCCCCUCCGAGAUUGGAUCUCCCUCUGUAUUCUCUUUUGUUUCGCGUUCCUCUCACGUCUCUGUUUUCUAGCCGAAACCGUUUCUUAUAUUCCCGGAGAUCCGUAACUCCGAUCGGGCUGAAAUUUUCAGGGGAUUUUUAUCCAAAAUUUUUAUUCUUUGCGCCCAAAGGAGAGCUCCAACUGACACACAUGGUGAGCACCACCCACCAGACCGCACGAAGGCCCCUGGGUGCGCCCUGGUGUCUUGUGCUCUCGAUGGGCCUCCGUUUGCGUUGCUUCCACUUCUCAAACUUCACAAAUAUUCCAAAAACAAAAUCUCCAUAAAUGUUUAUUGCGUUUGGACUUUGUUUGAUAUGGAAUUUUUGCGAUACAAAAAACACACAAAAAAUAGGAACUAGCACUAGGCACUGGAUAAAUAGGUUAAACCAAUAAAUCAUAUUAUUUGUUGCCAAAAGUUUGUGAAAGUUGUAUAAUAUUGACAUGAAACAAUCAAAAAUUAUAGAUACGACGGAGACGUAUCAGCAUCCCCAACCUUAAUUCCUACUCGUCCUCGAGUAGUUAAAUGAUAAAAAAGAUAAUUUUUGAUGUGGAAUGCUACCUAGCACAAUCUUGAUCAUAUGUCUAAUCAUGGCAUGAAUAUUAAGAUACAAGUGAUUCAAAGCAAUAGUCUAACAUUUGACAAGAAAACAUCCAUACUCAGGUUUACUAGCAAACAAUCAUGUCCUUUCAAAAUAACAAUGAUGAUAAAAGCUAUCCCUAAAAAAUCAUAUAGCCUAUCAUGCUUGGUCUUCCAAGCAUAAAGUAAAAUCAUGAGCACCACGGUGUCAAACCAAGCAAUUGGAUCGUGCUUUUUAACGCGCUUCAACCUUGUAUUACUCACUCAAUACAUGAGUGUGAACCAUGGAUAUAGCAUAAAGGUGGAAUAGAAUAUGGUGGUAAGUUUCAAAGGGGUAAAAGUGGAGCAGAAAGUCUCGCAUCAAUUCAGCGUAUCAACGGGCUAUGGAGAUGCCCAUCAAUAGAUAUCAAUGCAA
Molecule: long non-coding RNA, 41314 nt
Filed under: Hordeum vulgare
Lineage: Eukaryota; Viridiplantae; Streptophyta; Magnoliopsida; Poales; Poaceae
Description: long non-coding RNA (HVUL_LNC013703)
Source: RNAcentral